Molecule: ribosomal RNA, 492 nt
Filed under: uncultured bacterium
Lineage: Bacteria
Description: partial 16S ribosomal RNA
Rfam family: Bacterial small subunit ribosomal RNA
Source: RNAcentral
AGUGAACGCUGGCGGUAGGCCUAACACAUGCAAGUCGAACGGCAGCACAGUAAGAGCUUGCUCUUACGGGUGGCGAGUGGCGGACGGGUGAGGAAUACAUCGGCAUCUACUUUUUCGUGGGGGAUAACGUAGGGAAACUUACGCUAAUACCGCAUACGACCUACGGGUUAAAGCAGGGGAUCUUCGGACCUUGCGCGUUUGAAUGAGCCGAUGUCGGAUUAGCUAGUUGGCGGGGUAAAGGCCCACCAAGGCGACGAUCCGUAGCUGGUCUGAGAGGAUGAUCAGCCACACUGGAACUGAGACACGGUCCAGACUCCUACGGGAGGCAGCAGUGGGGAAUAUUGGACAAUGGGCGCAAGCCUGAUCCAGCCAUACCGCGUGGGUGAAGAAGGCCUUCGGGUUGUAAAGCCCUUUUGUUGGGAAAGAAAAGCAGCAGGUUAAUACCCCGCUGUUCUGACGGUACCCAAAGAAUAAGCACCGGCUAACUUCGUG